UCACGGCAGUACAACAUUAAGUAUUUUAUAGUUUUUGACUUAGCAUAUUGAAAAGUUAUAGACGUUAUAGUUAUUACAAAUACAAAUUUUGUUAUACCACGGUGCAGAGAAGACAUCUUCUCGGCACCGUGGGUCAGACGUUCUCGGGCAAUGAGGUCCAAUCACCAACCAAUCCAAGCCGGAGCCAACCGACAAUCUGUAGCUGCAUACAACUUCGGCAUCUUCGUGAAACCAGAGAAUCCUAAACCAAAACCAAAAAUUAACCAUUGUCAAUAAUCCUGGAUGGAGACGAAUACACAGUUGAGUCACGAUAAAAGGGAAGCAUCCGUCGUCGUCAAUUCAGCACAUAGAUUUCCAGUCAGUUUCUGCACAGUGGAUCAACCAUCAUCGUAAGAAAAUUAGCAAAACGUCAUAUUCUCGUAAUAACUCGGGAUCAAUUGAGAACGGUGGCCGGAGCGGUGACAUUCAUGGCCGCAGUCCGUUGUUAAUGUAUCACCAGAUGUGGGCUACGUUGAAGGUGGUUCAGGGUGUGGUUUAGGAAACGGCAUUUUGCGAGCAAACAAUAUUGAGUUUCGUUGAAAGAAUUGUUAAAAUAUCUGCUAAGACUACAUUGUAUUUGUUUGUCUUGAGUAGUGUAUUUGUUUGUCACGAUUGUCCCGAUUCAGAACUUUUCUUUUCGCAAUUUUUAAUCAUAUUUUUCAUGAAUCAGAUAAUAAUUGUUUUUGAUCUUUCUUUGGAUCAACUGCUGAAACAGAGCUCAGAUAUCAAUUUCUCGGCAGCUGAUAAAUCAGAUGUUUUGAUAAAGACCCAGCGGUGUUCAUAUUAUCAUAUAUGUAUCAACAUACCAUGGUAUACACACCGGCAUAAGAUGCAUCAUUUUUAUCAAUAAUACAUCUUGUUGAUUUAUUGGUUCAAUAUAGUGCUGAUUUGCUUCUCAUUGGAGAGAUAUGCUUCAGAGGAUCCUUCAACAGAACUUACACCCAUGAGUUUUUCCAGAGUUUUGCGUGAUGUCAACUUAAGUAUCCUGGCCUUGUUCGUUACUAUAACAAUUAUAAUUAACACACUUAUUAUACAUUCGUCAUAGUUUAUGAAUUGUACAUUCAUAUAAAAAUUGCUGGAAUACUUGAGAAAACGCAAUCAACAUCAUUUAUGGAGUACGCGUAGAUAAUAUGACAGCUAUUGGGUCUUAUAAUAAUAUUAAUAAAGAAGAGACAGACAUUUCAAAGCGGUUUCAGCAGUUAAUCCAAAAAUAGAUCGAAAACAAUUAUUAUUUGUAGAAUCUACCAGGUUCGUGCAAAAGAUCAUUGAAAAUUGCGAAAGAAAAAGUUCAGAUUCGGGAUUAUAAUCGUGACAAGCAAAUACAAUGUAGUCUUAGCAGACAUUUCAACUGUUCUGUCGAUGAAACUUAAUUGUUUGCCUCCGAAAUGCCGUUGACAAACCACAUGCUGAACCACUGGCAACGUAAUCUACAUUUGUAGGUACGCUGACAAUGGAUUGACGAUUUCGGACGCCGGUCACCAUUCUCAAUUGAUCCAGAGUGAGUCACAAGAAUAUCACGUUGUUCUAAUUUUCUUGCGAAGACGGCGUUGAUCCGGUGUACAGAAACUGACUGGAAAUUUAAGUGCUGAGGAACUGACGACGACGGAUGCCUCCCGUUUGUCGGACUCAACUGUGUGUUCGGCUCCAUGCAAGGUUACCAGCGGUGGCUAGUGUUGGUUUUAUGGUUGAAGAACCUGUAAUAAUUUUGAAGGCAAUUCAUUAUUUAUUUAUUAUAAGUUACGUGAAAUAAUAUUUUGUAGUUGGCCUUGGCACUAAUCCAGGAAUGAUUUUUGAAAGGGAUUCUUUUGUAUUUAAUUAUAACAUAUAGGUAUAUACAAU
Molecule: long non-coding RNA, 1878 nt
Organism: Myzus persicae (green peach aphid)
Lineage: Eukaryota; Metazoa; Arthropoda; Insecta; Hemiptera; Aphididae
Exons: 6
Source: RefSeq, a predicted model, not a curated record